ACUUUAUUUUUGUGGGUCGUGGCCUUAUAUUAUAGGUCAGAUUACUUCAUUUAAUAAAAUAACAAGAUGGUAUCAGUAAGAAAGCUGGUAGAAAGUAUGAUUAUUCAUGGAUGUUAACAUUAUGGUGCACGACAUGGUACAUCUUUAAGUCAGGCACGAAAGACAACCAUACCUUAUACAACAACAUGUGGGAUUGGCACCCUAGGCACAAUAGUCCCAACAAUAACAUACAAUUCUCAGAUGGAAUACAAACACCAGAAUUCGAAACCAACUUAUGUGUGUGCUUCCAGAACCAGGCUACAAUGGAACAAAUUGCUUCCACAAUUACUAACUAAUACAUGCACAUUACUUCAUACCAAUUUAAUUACGAAGUAAAGUGCUAGCAAAUAUUUGCAUCAAUCUCAAACAUUACAUCACGAAAAUGGACGGACGCAACAAUCUUCUCCAUGGAUAUAGAUUAUUGAUGGAGCAACAUUAGGUUAUUAAAUGUUCAUAUAUUUGCAUAACAUUCUAGGGCAAAAGGGAUGGACAAAACAAUAUUCUCCAUGCAUAUGGUUUAUUUAUGGAGUAUGUUUAGGUUAUUAAAUGUCCAUAUAUUUGCAUAACAUUCUAGAGCGAAAAUGGAUGGACGCAUCAAUGUGCACCUUUAAUGCUUAAGUGUACUGUAGCAUGGCCAUGGAUAUGCGAUUGUUUAGUGUCCACCGUAUGGAUUUACAAUCUGGAUUUCCUUGCAUGUAGAGUAGUUCGUAAGUGUAUCUUCUACAUGGAUAUGGUUUAUUAUGGAGCGAUAUUAGGUUAUUAAUUGUUAAAUUUUAUUAUGCAUUUCCAAGUUUCUCAUGUGUGGUUUUUGAAAUUUGGUCAUUAAUGCACCCAAAAAUUAGAAUCCUCAGACUUAAUGUUCAUCAUCAAAUUUCAUUUAUUGUCAAAAUUAUAAAUGACCAGAUAAUUCGCUACAUUAAAUGAAUUCCUUACUAAUAUUUUGUUACCCCUCUAUAUAUAGAAAUGAACAAUAUGGCUAGCAAGCACCAGCUAAUUCUUGGAUCAGCACACCCAUAUUGUGCCUCCAAAAGCACUGAUUGGUUAAAGUAAUUCAAGUUUGUGUGCAUGGAGAAGUACACGGAACAUGUGCGCCGGCUACUGCCACUCUCGAUACUUCUCCUCGUUUGCUUUGUUGUUCAUGUUCAAUGUGGGAGAAUUGAAGACAUAGGUAACAGGAAGAUGAAUCUACCAUAUGGAUUGUGUGGACCACGUAAACAAUUUGGAAAAUGCAAGGACGACUGUUGGUGUUGUUUAGUGAGCCCAACCCCCGGCAAAAACAUUUGCUACGAGACACCUGAAAUAUGUGAUGAGAAUUGCCGAGUUUGAGUUACAGUUGAGACUCUUGGAUUAAUCAGAAAAAAUAUAUAGUCAUUAAUCUUUACGGCACCGUUCUAGUAUAUGCACAAGACAUAUAAUAACUACUCCCUCCGUCCCAUAACGUAAGACGUUUUUUGUCUUACAUUACGGAAUAGAGGGAGUACUUUUCAUGAUGAUUAUUAGCAUAUCAAUCUCCACAACUUCGGUCUCAUGUAUCUUUAGUCGCUCUAAAAAACCAUCAUGUUUCUAUCUUAA
This is a long non-coding RNA of Aegilops tauschii subsp. strangulata, 1611 nucleotides long. RefSeq lists it as uncharacterized. The record is from RefSeq and is a predicted model, not a curated record. Lineage: Eukaryota; Viridiplantae; Streptophyta; Magnoliopsida; Poales; Poaceae.